Molecule: ribosomal RNA, 433 nt
Filed under: uncultured bacterium
Lineage: Bacteria
Description: partial 16S ribosomal RNA
Rfam family: Bacterial small subunit ribosomal RNA
Source: RNAcentral
AACGAACGCUGGCGGCAUGCCUAACACAUGCAAGUCGAACGAGACCUUCGGGUCUAGUGGCGCACGGGUGCGUAACGCGUGGUAACCUGCCCUUAGGUUCGGAAUAACUCCCCGAAAGGGGUGCUAAUACCGGAUAAUGUCUUCGGACCAAAGAUUUAUCGCCUUGGGAUGGGCCCGCGUUGGAUUAGCUAGUUGGUAGGGUAAAAGCCUACCAAGGCGACGAUCCAUAGCUGGUCUGAGAGGAUGAUCAGCCACACUGGGACUGAGACACGGCCCAGACUCCUACGGGAGGCAGCAGUGGGGAAUAUUGGACAAUGGGCGAAAGCCUGAUCCAGCAAUGCCGCGUGAGUGAUGAAGGCCUUAGGGUUGUAAAGCUCUUUUACCCGGGAUGAUAAUGACAGUACCGGGAGAAUAAGCUCCGGCUAACUCCGUG